Molecule: ribosomal RNA, 910 nt
Filed under: Helotiales sp.
Lineage: Eukaryota; Fungi; Ascomycota; Leotiomycetes; Helotiales
Description: SSU rRNA
Rfam family: Eukaryotic small subunit ribosomal RNA
Source: RNAcentral
UCUAUACGGUGAACUGCGAAUGGCUCAUUAAAUCAGUUAUCGUUUAUUUGAUAGUACCUUACUACUUGGAUAACCGUGGUAAUUCUAGAGCUAAUACAUGCUAAAAACCUCGACUUCGGAAGGGGUGUAUUUAUUAGAUAAAAAACCAAUGCCCUUCGGGGCUCCCUGGUGAUUCAUAAUAACUUAACGAAUCGCAUGGCCUUGUGCCGGCGAUGGUUCAUUCAAAUUUCUGCCCUAUCAACUUUCGAUGGUAGGAUAGUGGCCUACCAUGGUUUCAACGGGUAACGGGGAAUUAGGGUUCUAUUCCGGAGAGGGAGCCUGAGAAACGGCUGCCACAUCCAAGGAAGGCAGCAGGCGCGCAAAUUACCCAAUCCCGACACGGGGAGGUAGUGACAAUAAAUACUGAUACAGGGCUCUUUUGGGUCUUGUAAUUGGAAUGAGUACAAUUUAAAUCCCUUAACGAGGAACAAUUGGAGGGCAAGUCUGGUGCCAGCAGCCGCGGUAAUUCCAGCUCCAAUAGCGUAUAUUAAAGUUGUUGCAGUUAAAAAGCUCGUAGUUGAACCUUGAGCCUGGCUGGCCGGUCCGCCUCACCGCGUGCACUGGUCCGGCCGGGUUUUUCCUUCUGGGGAGCCGCAUGCCCUUCACUGGGUGUGUCGGGGAACCAGGACUUUUACUUUGAAAAAAUUAGAGUGUUCAAAGCAGGCCUAUGCUCGAAUACAUUAGCAUGGAAUAAUAGAAUAGGACGUGUGGUUCUAUUUUGUUGGUUUCUAGGACCGCCGUAAUGAUUAAUAGGGAUAGUCGGGGGCAUCAGUAUUCAAUUGUCAGAGGUGAAAUUCUUGGAUUUAUUGAAGACUAACUACUGCGAAAGCAUUUGCCAAGGAUGUUUUCAUUAAUCAGUGAACGAAAGUUA